CUCCACUAAUAGGUAUAUUUUAUACCAUAUUUUGGUUAUUUAGAAUUCGUUGGGGGUAAAAAGGUAUCCCACAUUAAGCGUUGAGCUGCUUAUCACUAAAGCACUUUACUGCGUCACACACUACCUGCUAGUAGAGGUAGACUUUAGUUUGAUAUUUGUAUUAGCCAUUAGUUUAGGCAUGCUGCCUCUGUGAUUGGUUCUUGGAGCAAUCCCCAUGUCUGCCAAUUUGUGUGCUAUUAAUCUGCCUUAGUCAAUAGCCAAGUGCAGGCUGAUUUUGUUGUGUAAAGGUUACAGAGACGGUCUCCAGCAUUGUAGGAUUACUUUGACAAACGGUCACAUAAGAUGGGAUAUUGUUGGACUGCCUAAAUUUAUGGGGCCUUCAGCAAUAGCCCAGUUUAUAAGUCCAGCACAAUUUGUAGAUCAG
Non-coding RNA from Pelobates cultripes (western spadefoot toad), 424 nucleotides. The record is from the annotation of a GenBank genome assembly. Lineage: Eukaryota; Metazoa; Chordata; Amphibia; Anura; Pelobatidae.